This 188-nucleotide small nuclear RNA is filed under the name Erinaceus europaeus (western European hedgehog). Its description in RNAcentral is "7SK RNA". It matches the Rfam family "7SK RNA", at positions 1 to 187 of the family's 331-position model. Rfam says of the family: 7SK was discovered as an abundant small nuclear RNA in the mid-70s but a possible function has only recently been suggested. Two independent studies have found that 7SK RNA binds the CDK9/cyclin T complex (known as elongation factor P-TEFb). The record is from Rfam by way of RNAcentral. Lineage: Eukaryota; Metazoa; Chordata; Mammalia; Eulipotyphla; Erinaceidae.
GGAUGUGAGGGCGAUCUGGCUGUGACAUCUGUCACGCCAUUGAUCGCCAGGGUUGAUCCGGCUGAUCUGGCUGACUAGGAGGGGUGUCCCCUUCCUCCCUCAUCGCUCCUUGUGUGUCCUACCCUAAGCUGCACGCUCAGUCAAAGAGGACGGCCUUCCCUGAACAGAGUGCAGUGAAAUAAAGACUU